Felis catus (domestic cat) is the source of this 3688-nucleotide long non-coding RNA. RefSeq lists it as uncharacterized. The record is from RefSeq and is a predicted model, not a curated record. The transcript is spliced from 2 exons. NCBI's taxonomy places the organism in Eukaryota, Metazoa, Chordata, Mammalia, Carnivora, Felidae.
UGGCAAUGAGAAAGAAUGAAAUCCUGCCAUUUGCAGCAAUACGGAUGGAACCAGAAGGUUCCCAGCUUCCCAUAGGAUUCCUAAAGGUGUCUGCCCGUCUUCCCCAUCACACUCGCACCCAUAUGGAUGGAUGAGAACGGAUCCGUCUCGAACCAGACACCUCAGCUCAAUGUCCUGUCUCUGAGGUUAACAGCCACUUUCUCCCGGGGAGUCGAGGUGCCUGUCCAGUGUCCUCCACUGCAUGUGCUCGGAUGAGCGUUACUUUUUUCUUCACAUCAUCACCCGUUGUCAUGCAUUCCUCCUCUUCCUCACGUACCCCUGCUAAUUUUCUACACACUGAGUGGCUUUUAUCUCCCCAGCGUCUUCCAUUCCAAAGCCUCCUGGACAUAGCAGCAAGGUCCACGCUUGGGUUGCACUACAGCGAAUGUCAUAUUCCUCCCUUCUUCCUCCUCGCCCUCCCUACCCCAGCCCCUGCUGUGUGCUCUGAAUCCCACAUAUCCUCUGCAGCACCUUUCAGAAUUCUUAAGAACACUAAGUCUCUGUCAUCAUGUCCCACGGAAUUGAUCAUGUUCUGUACAGUUAUUUUCACAGCUUCUGCCAUGCUGAUUUUCUCAUACAUCAUGGUAACGGCCAAUAAUCCCAGUGCUUUGUAUUUGUGCUGAUGGCACAUCUGUCUUCGUUCAUCUUUGUUUCUUCUUGCCAAUGUCACGCAGAGGCUGUCUACUAUGUGUCUCUCCUUCGGCCAUUCCUUUAGAAAUGGCCUGUCAUCCACAGUAUGUAAUUUCUGGAUGACCAUCAAUCAUGUGGUCCUGACUCCUCUACCUCAGCAAUGGGACUGAAGAACAUGCAAACAGGAGCAGCAAGAGUAAAUUUAGGGAACUGAUAUGCGUCCUGGAAAAGGAGGGUAAUUCUGUGUUCCUGGGGAUUUCUAGGUGCCGGUGACCUAUUUAUAUCCACGCGGAAAACCUGAGAAGCAAGCGUAGAGCGGAGAUACAGGGGAAGGAGAGAGGCGGCAGGCAGUGCGGAGCACAGAGACGGCAUGAUCAUGAUGUCUUCUCAAACCUGGAUGGAGCCACUCCUGAGGUCCACCCCUCCUCCUUGACCUCGCAGGAUAUAUAUGUGAGACAACCAUUAUCUUUGUGGCUGGGGCUACCUGAGAUAGGUUGCUGCCAUCUGCAGCCAAAAGGGUCCCAAUUAACAUAACUGUCACCCUCAACAUCAACAAUUCUCAUUAAGCCACAACUAGCUUUAGGCCAUUAUGAUUGGUGCCACUGAAUUCAAUGACUCAGGACUCUCCCCUCCAUGGGCUCACCCCCAGAUGAGAUAUGGGAUACGAAUAAAAUAGUUUUUAAAAAGCACAAAGUGUUUUAGGCAAUGUCAUAUUGCUCCCCGCAGGUAAUCACAUUACGUUUGUAAAAAUUCAAGAGCAAAUUAAUUUGCUCAGUUGACCCAUGUUGAUGAAGAAACACGUAGGAAUUUAAAAAAUAUGCCUGAGAUGAAUUCUUUUUGUUUGGCUCACUUCAUCCUGUGAAUCUGUGGCACACCACAAGUUGUAUAAUAUUCCAUUCUAAUUAUACUUUGUUGGAACACAGGAUAUAAAAGAAACCAGAAUUGAGAGAAGACACCCAUGCAUAGGACUAUGUCUCUAUCCCGGGCUCAUUAAAUACUCGUUCUGGUGCUGCUGGAGUCUAUGGGCUUCUUGAUUAAUCACUAGAAACCCUGUGAAUCACAAACUAUCAGGCGAUCUUUGACUUAAGUUCUUUGGCAUAUCUACCAGUGGCCAUUGUUCUCUUUAUAAUUCAAUGCUAAUUCAAUAUCUAAUAUCCCUUAAAAGUUUCAGAUAUGUGCUUUUUCUUAUUUUAAAAAUAUUCUAGUCUCUGUCCAUCAUACCAUGGAUAUAGAUUAUGAACUGAGCAAAAAUGUUACUGUCGCGAAAGAGCCAUUCACAGAGAAUAACCUGUAGUUACGUGCUCUCCCCCCUUGUGAUACAACAUCUAAAGGACAGUAAUUAAAAAGCUAAUGGUUAAUAAUCAUGUAUUCACUCCCGAAAACUACACUUGUUUCCUUCUAAUAUCUUCAUAUGUGAAAGCGAAAAAGAAGAAUGUGAAUCUGGUAGGUGAACAGGUCACUGAGGAGAAGAGAGCCUUUCAAAUGGGAGAUGGAAAGUAGUGAGCAAAGCAAAUUACGAGCGAAAACCUGUUAUGACUUCUGGCUCUGAGAGGGAGAAAUGUCUAGGAAAUCAUGGUUGCUCAUCUGAGGCCACCACAUAAUGAGAUGCACUAACUGCGCUUCUAUCAAUAAAUAUGAUGCUGUUGUUAUCAGUAAUAACUUUUCCCUGGAAGGCAGCCAAAGGUAGUUGAAGAAGCAUGGUCUUCAGAGCCUGUUUGAUUUGGGUUUGAGUUCUGGGCUGGCUGAGAAGGAGUACAAACUUGGCAGAACGCCUGGCUUCUCUGAGACACAUUUCUUCCUCUGUCAAGAGGGCUUCCCUAUAUGGAACCACAAAGGACCCCAGAGAACGAAAACCAUCUUGAGAGAGAAGAACGAAGCUAGAGGCAACACAAUCCCUGAUUUAAAAAUACAUCACAAAGUUGUAGUAAUUAAAGGAGUAUGAUCCUGGCCUGAAGACAGACAUACUGACCCAGGUAACCAGAAAGAGCUCAGAAUGCCAAGGACACACAAUGAGGAAAGGACAGUCUCUUCCACAAACGAUGCUGGGAAAACUGGACGGCCACGUGCAAAAGAAUGAAACUGGACCCCAGUCUUAUGCCAUGCACAAAAGUCAACACAAAACAGACGAAAGCCUUACUGCACAUAAGACCUGCAACUACAAAACUCCUUGGAGAAAACAGAGGAUGGGCUUCAUGACACUGUCCUUGGCAAUGAUUUCUGGGCAUUUAUCCAAAAGAACCGAAAUUAGCAUCUUGAAGCGCUUCAAGCCCUUACUCCAAGCCUUACUUCCUUACCACUGGCCCUUACUUCCUUGUUCAUGUAGCACUACUAACAAUCGCCAAGAUACAGAAACAAACUAAACAUCUAUGGAUGGAUGAAGGGAUGAAGAAAGUAUGGGGGGUAUGUAGAGCGGCAUAGUUUUCAGCCUUAAAAAAGGAAAUGAUGCAAUAUGUGACAGCACGAUGAGCCUUGAGGACAUUAUGCUGAGUGAACUAAGCCAGUCACAGAAGGACAAACACUGCGUUACUCAUAUGAGGUGCCGGAAAUAGCAGAACUCGUAGAAGCAGACAGCAGAUUAGCCAUGGCGGGUGCAGGGGGAGAGAGGGAAUGAGGAGUUACUAUUCAAUGGGGCACACGUUAUGCAAGAUGAAUGAGUGCUGGUGACCUUCUGCACAACACGGUGUCUGCAGUUAACAACACUGAAGCCCGCACUUAACAUUGUCUUAAGGAGGGGGGGGCGCCUGGGUGGCUCAGUUGAUUAAGCGUCCAGCUCUUGACUUCAUGAUCUCACAGUUCAUGAGUUCUAGCCCCACGUCGGGCUCUGUGCUGACAGUGUGGAGCCAGCUUGGGAUUCCCUCUCUCUCUCUCUCUCUCUCUCUCUCUCUGUCUCUCUCCCUCUCCCUCACUCAUGUGCUCUGUUUCUCUCUCUCUCAAAAUAAAUAUACUUAAACACUUUUUUUUAAGGAGGUCGAUCUCAUGUUAAGGGUUCUUAUCAGAAUAAAAACAAACAAAAACCCUG